UACGUAGGGUGUGAGCGUUAAUCGGAAUUACUGGGCGUAAAGCGUGCGCAGGCGGUUUUGUAAGCCAGAUGUGAAAUCCCCGGGCUUAACCUGGGAAUGGCAUUUGGGACUGCAAGGCUGGAGUGUGGCAGAGGAGACUGGAAUUCCUGGUGUAGCAGUGAAAUGCGUAGAUAUCAGGAGGAAUACCGAUGGCGAAGGCAGGUCUCUGGGCUGACACUGACGCUCAUGCACGAAAGCGUGGGGAUCAAACAGG
This 253-nucleotide ribosomal RNA is filed under the name uncultured bacterium. RNAcentral describes it as "partial 16S ribosomal RNA". It matches the Rfam family "Bacterial small subunit ribosomal RNA", at positions 524 to 776 of the family's 1533-position model. The record is from RNAcentral.